RNAcentral lists this ribosomal RNA (497 nucleotides) under uncultured bacterium. Its description in RNAcentral is "partial 16S ribosomal RNA". It matches the Rfam family "Bacterial small subunit ribosomal RNA", at positions 28 to 507 of the family's 1533-position model. The record is from RNAcentral.
GAUGAACGCUGGCGGCGUGCCUAAUACAUGCAAGUCGAGCGAACAGACGAGGAGCUUGCUCCUCUGAUGUUAGCGGCGGACGGGUGAGUAACACGUGGAUAACCUACCUAUAAGACUGGGAUAACUUCGGGAAACCGGAGCUAAUACCGGAUAACAUGUUGAACCGCAUGGUUCAACAGUGAAAGACGGUUUUGCUGUCACUUAUAGAUGGAUCCGCGCCGCAUUAGCUAGUUGGUAAGGUAACGGCUUACCAAGGCAACGAUGCGUAGCUGACCUGAGAGGGUGAUCGGCCACACUGGAACUGAGACACGGUCCAGACUCCUACGGGAGGCAGCAGUAGGGAAUCUUCCGCAAUGGGCGAAAGCCUGACGGAGCAACGCCGCGUGAGUGAAGAAGGUCUUCGGAUCGUAAAACUCUGUUAUUAGGGAAGAACAAAUGUGUAAGUAACUAUGCACGUCUUGACGGUACCUAAUCAGAAAGCCACGGCUAACUACGUG